GGCCCUGCUUUUGUGGGGUGCUCGAGUGGCGAACGGGUGAGUAACACGUGAGUAACCUGCCCUUGACUUUGGGAUAACUUCGGGAAACUGGGGCUAAUACCGGAUAGGAGCUCCUGCUGCAUGGUGGGGGUUGGAAAGUUUCGGCGGUUGGGGAUGGACUCGCGGCUUAUCAGCUUGUUGGUGGGGCAGUGGCUUACCAAGGCUUUGACGGGUAGCCGGCCUGAGAGGGUGACCGGCCACAUUGGGACUGAGAUACGGCCCAGACUCCUACGGGAGGCAGCAGUGGGGAAUAUUGCACAAUGGGCGGAAGCCUGAUGCAGCAACGCCGCGUGCGGGAUGACGGCCUUCGGGUUGUAAACCGCUUUCGCCUGUGACGAAGCGUGAGUGACGGUAAUGGGUAAAGAAGCACCGGCUAACUACGUGCCAGCAGCCGCGGUGAUACGUAGGGUGCGAGCGUUGUCCGGAUUUAUUGGGCGUAAAGGGCUCGUAGGUGGUUGAUCGCGUCGGAAGUGUAAUCUUGGGGCUUAACCCUGAGCGUGCUUUCGAUACGGGUUGACUUGAGGAAGGUAGGGGAGAAUGGAAUUCCUGGUGGAGCGGUGGAAUGCGCAGAUAUCAGGAGGAACACCAGUGGCGAAG
This 636-nucleotide ribosomal RNA is filed under the name uncultured Propionibacterium sp. RNAcentral describes it as "bacterial SSU rRNA". It matches the Rfam family "Bacterial small subunit ribosomal RNA", at positions 71 to 720 of the family's 1533-position model. The record is from RNAcentral. Lineage: Bacteria; Bacillati; Actinomycetota; Actinomycetes; Propionibacteriales; Propionibacteriaceae.